Equus asinus (donkey) is the source of this 2387-nucleotide long non-coding RNA. NCBI's taxonomy places the organism in Eukaryota, Metazoa, Chordata, Mammalia, Perissodactyla, Equidae. The record is from Ensembl.
GUAUGCUGGAUGGUUGGGGAGAAAAAGGUCACUGAUUAAUGGGUUGGGAGCACAGAGUCAGUUUUAUGUUUGUUUUGCUUUUUGUUGUUUUGUUCGUUUGGGUUUUUCUUUCUUUCUUUUUUUCUUUUUGAAUCAACACUGAGUUUUAACGGUCAGACAAGCAUUGGGAGAUGUCGAUGUUUUUUACAAAUCAGACCGAUCCACAGAAAGCUCCUUUCACUGGUGUGCUCAGAGAGCCCUUCAUUCUGAAGACUCAGCACCACUUGGAAAACAAUCUGAAUGAAUGUGUCUCAGUGUGGGAGGCUGGGAAGUCGAGCCGGGACAGAGCUGGGCGGUUGGUGUUUAUCUUACUGCUCUCUUGAAGGGUGGUAGCCCUGAAGACAUCAGUCCCAGCCUUUCUCCCCCUGGGUUUUCCUGGGCGGAAACUGGGCUUGUGAAAAUGCUGGUGGUAAGGCCUCUGCGUGUCAGUGAGAACACCAACCCAGGAGGCAUGAUGUGAGCUGAAGUCUGGAGCAAACUCAUCCUGUAUUCCGCCAGCUCCUGCCGCCCACAUGCUGGGGGCAAUGACAGCAAGCCACAACCGCAGACCUCGUGCCGUCCCAGCCUGGAAUUCCCUGCCGGGAGCAGACGGUGCUUUCCACAGAGAUGAGACCAAGAGACCCACGGGACAGGCCUGCCCUGCCUGCCUCCACUGGGCCAAUCCCUUUGGAAUAGCCUGGAUUUUGUUGGUAUUUUGGAAUCUCUUUUGUUGAGGUCCCAAAUCUGUUUUAAUCUUUGUUCAGGAAUCUAAUUCAGAAAUUCAGACUUUCGUGUCUGCCAAGAGGUGGGUUUGGCUAUGAGAGGAAAACAGGAAAAGGCUUAAAAGUUAAUAAAGCUGGAAGAAAACAGCUUCUAUGUUAGCAGUCCAACAUCCAGAGCCUGCGCCCCUCCCCCAGCCCCAGCUGCCUUCGGAUGGGACAAGGACUCUCCCUGCACUGGAGCAGCGUGUUAAAGGUUUCUGGAGAUGGGCGGGGGGGGGCACAGGAGCGUUUCCGGGAGAUGUUGGUGGAGAGAUCUGACUGCUUUCCUUAGCGGAGCCCGGGAAUCACAUCACCUUGUAAUUACUGGCAGUAACAGCGGGGAGCUGCAAUACAGAGGAUUUGUUCUUUCAUUCAACAACUAUCCAGUGAACGUGGACCGUGUGCCAGGCAGUGUCCUAGGCUCCAGGGACGUGGCAGGGAAGAAGGCAUCCAGGUGACUGUUUCUGAGCCUCUGACAUUCUGUCAGGGGAUAGAUGAUAGGGACAGAAACAAAUAAGAAAGGUUUGACGUGGCCUGUUGGGUAUGCUUUCUACAUCUGCUUGAAACAGUCACAAGGUCCCAAAGCCAAGAACGAUGCCCCUAAAGAUGAGGAUGUUGCCUUCCCCACAUCAGCAUUUCUUUAAGGACAAGCCUUUCUUCCCAGAAACUAAGAAUUAAUGACUGACCUGCGUUAACUCACCUUGUGACCGCUGACCUGCUGACCACCGACCUGCUGUGCUCACCUUGUGACCACUGACCUCCUGUGCUAGCAAGGCAUCUUGUGACGGUAGCAAAAGAGAUAUUCCUGUCCUGUGUGAUGUAUGUUCUUUGUUCCAGACGGUGUAGAACCGCCUUGUACACCCCGCCUCCUCGGAGAGCUUCCUUCCUUGGUGGCAAAAUUCUCCUGGGCUACGGUCCUCACUCUGGCUCAUAAUAAGCUCAUCUGAAUUUUGAUUUUUAGAUUGAUUAUGGAUUAUUUGCGUCGACACCAGAUAGGGUCCGAAUCGGUCAUCCUGAAAUGGCACUGCUGGCUCCCCUCCGUGAGAAGUCCCUCAUGUCCCCCUGGGGGAAAGAGAGAGACGACUAAGAGGACCAGUGGUCCUGACAGAAGACCUGUUUAGGACAGGGAGACCUCAGAGAGCAGUGACCUUAUGACAGAGCAGAUGGCAGAGCGGAGAAUAGCAAUAGCGGAUGCCAGCUCAUGGCUUAAGAGCAGGCAGGACCAAUGACUUCACCAGCCCAUUCAGCAAUGACAGAGGCCAGUGCCCAAAGGCCAGCAAGAUACCCAAGGACAAAGCCAGAGCAGUCACAGCAUAUUUAAGAGGCACGGCCUCGCACCACUGUCCCCAUGAGUCGUGGAAACUUCCCCUGCACCCAGAUACCAUUUAGGAAGAGAAAUUCUGAGAAAUGGAGCAUUUCCCCAAAAAGGAAUGAAUAGGUGUUGUUAGGGGACUCUUCCAAACCAGAAGAGAUCCAGUUAGCAAUAAGCAGAGUGUUUAAAUUCCUCUCAAACCCAAUAUCUGGACCAAAGUGAAGACAUCUAUUGAAAAAUGAAGAAAACUUCAUUCUCUGCCUGCUCCCAAAGAAGUGUUUAAUUUUUGACCUCUG